Molecule: non-coding RNA, 30 nt
Filed under: Cricetulus griseus (Chinese hamster)
Lineage: Eukaryota; Metazoa; Chordata; Mammalia; Rodentia; Cricetidae
Source: RNAcentral
CCUGAAGAGACAAAGUAGACUAACGUAGGU